GUGCUUUCUUUGGCAGCAUAUACACUAAGAUUGGAAUGAUACAGAGAAGAUGAGCACGGCUGCUCUGCAGGGAUGACACGAAAAUUCAUGAAGGAUUCCAUAUUUAA
This is a small nuclear RNA of Gracilinanus agilis (Agile Gracile Mouse Opossum), 107 nucleotides long. Lineage: Eukaryota; Metazoa; Chordata; Mammalia; Didelphimorphia; Didelphidae. The record is from RefSeq and is a predicted model, not a curated record.